RNAcentral lists this long non-coding RNA (498 nucleotides) under Danio rerio (zebrafish). RNAcentral's name for it is "lncRNA (ENSDARG00000117733.1)". Lineage: Eukaryota; Metazoa; Chordata; Actinopteri; Cypriniformes; Danionidae. The record is from RNAcentral.
AAAUUAAAUUAGACUGUAAAAAUUUACUUUUUGAAAAAAUGUGGAAACUGACAAUUAAAUAUUGACUCAACAAAUGACAAAAAAAAAAUAAAUCCAGUGUAUUCAUUUUAGUCUGUGAUCUGAAGACAAAAUUAAAAAUAUUCACCAAACAUUAAUUUGUGCUCUGCCAAUUUAUCAAACAGAAGAGAAAUAUUUGUGUUUGGCGAACUAACCUUGCAGCAAAAAAAAAAAAAAAAAAAAAAAAAGCGCGUGUGCGCAUGCGCGUGAGAGUCGUUGGUUGAAGCAGAUUCAAAUUCCAGCGCAGCAAUGGCUGAUGUCCGACGAAACGCCACAUUCAGACGAAUUUUCCUUCAAUAAAGAUAUGGGCUGAAAUCCCUUCAUCAACCUGCUGUCAAAGGAUUUCAAUCACUUUAGAAUGGCUCUCCAUCUUUAAAGGUCAGUGAAAACAGUAAAGUUGUUGUCUUAAAUAGAAUUUUGCCAAAUAAAUAGUUUUUAUAA